This 266-nucleotide ribosomal RNA is filed under the name uncultured bacterium. RNAcentral's name for it is "partial 16S ribosomal RNA". It matches the Rfam family "Bacterial small subunit ribosomal RNA", at positions 793 to 1055 of the family's 1533-position model. The record is from RNAcentral.
GUCCACGCCCUAAACGGUGGGUACUAGGUGUAGGGCUCGUAAGGGUUCUGUGCCGAAGCGAAAGCAUUAAGUACCCCGCCUGGGGAGUACGGCCGCAAGGUUGAAACUCAAAGGAAUUGACGGGGCCCGCACAAGCGGUGGAGCAUGUGGUUUAAUUCGACGCAACGCGAAGAACCUUACCUGGGCUUGACAUGUUAGUGGUAAGGACCCGAAAGGGCGAUGAUUCCCGCAAGGGAAAGCUAACACAGGUGCUGCAUGGCUGUCGU